UUAAGGGGGGUAAAGAAUAAAAGAAAAUGGCCCUGGGCCAACAAAUUCUCGGAGACGAAAGAAGAAGGCUAAAGAGUUGCGAAGAGAGAAAGCUUUACUAAAUUCUAGAUCUUUUGGUGGUGUGUGAAAGUCCAUUGGCAGAAGAGGUAGAUUCUCUUUAUUGGAGAAGAUGAGACGUAUGACAGUCACCAAGAUUCCCUCUGAUCAGAGAUGCUGCAGACAUUACCGUGUAUCUUGAGAAGAAAAUUCGUGUCACCUCUGACCCCCAGUUUGUUUGUGCACAACAUUCUGAUAUGCUUCUCUCUCUUGAUUUUCAUCCUGGCAACCGUGAAUUAAAAACGUACAUGACUUGCACUUUGAAAUUUUGUAGUCCCUUUGAAGGUCAGUUGAAGAUUGCAGGUACUCCAUCGAUUUUAAUCAUCUGAAGAAAGUUCAUCAUUGUGGUACAAGGUUUUCUGUCUAUGCACCACCGAGUGCCGAACUGUAGUUUGUGAUAGCGUCGAAGGAAAUGUAAAUGAUGAUCCCUUGUUUGAGUGAUGUAGGUUGUGCCUGAUCUUGAUCAUUGAUAUUCAGAAAUUAGUAUUGACGAAAGCCUGUGUGUAUUUUGACUGCUAUCUGAUUUAUGUGGAUGCUUUCGGGGCGGUUUAAGGAUAAUACAGAAGGAUUAACCUUACUCUUUUGUUUCAAUCACUGAAGCUUCAUUCAAGUAAAAUGCAGUUUGAGAAACUUGUUUACAAGGAUUUUGUUAUUGUAAAGAAGCUCGAUUUGGAUCAUUUCCCCUGCCAGAGAAGCAUUGGAGAAACUGGUCGCAAUCACAAAGGUUUAUUGUUUAAUUGACAGUUGCAGUUGAUUGAACAUAUUAGCAGUUAUCAUUUAAAUCUUAUGCCUUGUAAAUCAGAGUCAUCAACUAUACAUUGAAUGAUUAAUUCUUAAUUAACGAUAUGUAAAUACACGAGACUACUGGUCCUUUAUA
This is a long non-coding RNA of Asparagus officinalis (garden asparagus), 973 nucleotides long. RefSeq lists it as uncharacterized. The transcript has 4 exons. Lineage: Eukaryota; Viridiplantae; Streptophyta; Magnoliopsida; Asparagales; Asparagaceae. The record is from RefSeq and is a predicted model, not a curated record.